Molecule: long non-coding RNA, 299 nt
Organism: Peromyscus eremicus (cactus mouse)
Lineage: Eukaryota; Metazoa; Chordata; Mammalia; Rodentia; Cricetidae
Exons: 2
Source: RefSeq, a predicted model, not a curated record
UGCUGGCCAAGGAAGAGCUCCCCAUGGUUCCCACAAACCCUGCCCUAGGGGGAGGAGGUAGCUGUGAAGGUACAUAGAGGCAGAGAGGAGAAACUCCUGAUCCUGGUUAGAUUGCCCUUCCCAUAAGAGCUACUGUUCCCCUUGAUCAAGUCUACAUCUGUGUCAGUGGGUUUCCAUUUGGCUGGCAGACAGAUCCAGGCAUCAGCUACUGACUUCAACCUGUGACACAUGGACUUGCUGAAAGUUGAUAUGGACCAAUCCAGCCAAUAUAAAUGCUGUUUCUUCAGCUGGUCAGUGAA